RNAcentral lists this ribosomal RNA (399 nucleotides) under Vibrio cholerae. RNAcentral describes it as "partial 23S ribosomal RNA". It matches the Rfam family "Bacterial large subunit ribosomal RNA", at positions 1 to 445 of the family's 2925-position model. The record is from RNAcentral. Lineage: Bacteria; Pseudomonadati; Pseudomonadota; Gammaproteobacteria; Vibrionales; Vibrionaceae.
UGUAUGGUUAAGUGACUAAGCGUACACGGUGGAUGCCUGGGCAGUCAGAGGCGAUGAAGGACGUACUAACUUGCGAUAAGCGCAGAUAAGGCAGUAAGAGCCGUUUGAGUCUGCGAUUUCCGAAUGGGGAAACCCAACUGCAUAAGCAGUUACUGUUAACUGAAUACAUAGGUUAACAGAGCAAACCGGGGGAACUGAAACAUCUAAGUACCCCGAGGAGAAGAAAUCAACCGAGAUUCCGGUAGUAGCGGCGAGCGAACCUGGAUUAGCCCUUAAGCACUCGGUGAAGUAGGUGAACAAGCUGGAAAGCUUGGCGAUACAGGGUGAUAGCCCCGUAACCGACGCUUCAUCGAGCGUGAAAUCGAGUAGGGCGGGACACGUGAUAUCCUGUCUGAAUAU